GUCAGUGACCAUACCGCCCUGAAUGCACCGCAUCUUGUCUAGUCUUGGAAGUUAAGCAGCGUUUGAUCUGGUUGACACGUGGAUGGGAGAACAGUAGGAUAAUUUUGUGUUUCCGCUA
Molecule: ribosomal RNA, 118 nt
Filed under: Jaculus jaculus (lesser Egyptian jerboa)
Lineage: Eukaryota; Metazoa; Chordata; Mammalia; Rodentia; Dipodidae
Source: RNAcentral